UGAGUACAGUAGAGGUGGGCGGAAUUCGUGGUGUAGCGGUGAAAUGCUUAGAUAUCACGAAGAACUCCGAUUGCGAAGGCAGCUCACUGGACUGCAACUGACACUGAUGCUCGAAAGUGUGGGUAUCAAACAGGAUUAGAUACCCUGGUAGUCCACACAGUAAACGAUGAAUACUCGCUGUUUGCGAUAUACAGUAAGCGGCCAAGCGAAAGCAUUAAGUAUUCCACCUGGGGAGUACGCCGGCAACGGUGAAACUCAAAGGAAUUGACGGGGGCCCGCACAAGCGGAGGAACAUGUGGUUUAAUUCGAUGAUACGCGAGGAACCUUACCCGGGCUUAAAUUGCAGUGGAAUGAUGUGGAAACAUGUCAGUGAGCAAUCACCGCUGUGAAGGUGCUGCAUGGUUGUCGUCAGCUCGUGCCGUGAGGUGUCGGCUUAAGUGCCAUAACGAGCGCAACCCUUAUCUUCAGUUACUAACAGGUCAUGCUGAGGACUCUGGAGAGACUGCCGUCGUAAGAUGUGAGGAAGGUGGGGAUGACGUCAAAUCAGCACGGCCCUUACGUCCGGGGCUACACACGUGUUACAAUGGGGGGUACAGAAGGCAGCUAGCGGGUGACCGUAUGCUAAUCCCAAAAUCCUCUCUCAGUUCGGAUCGAAGUCUGCAACCCGACUUCGUGAAGCUGGAUUCGCUAGUAAUCGCGCAUCAGCCACGGCGCGGUGAAUACGUUCCCGGGCCUUGUACACACCGCCCGUCAAGCCAUGGGAGCCGGGGGUACCUGAAGUACGUAACCGCAAGGAUCGUCCUAGGGUAAAACUGGUGACUGGGGCUAAGUCGUAACAAGGUAACCA
Molecule: ribosomal RNA, 847 nt
Filed under: uncultured bacterium
Lineage: Bacteria
Description: bacterial SSU rRNA
Rfam family: Bacterial small subunit ribosomal RNA
Source: RNAcentral